RNAcentral lists this ribosomal RNA (253 nucleotides) under uncultured bacterium. RNAcentral describes it as "partial 16S ribosomal RNA". It matches the Rfam family "Bacterial small subunit ribosomal RNA", at positions 524 to 776 of the family's 1533-position model. The record is from RNAcentral.
UACGUAGGGGGCAGGCGUUAUCCGGAAUUACUGGGUGUAAAGGGUGAGUAGGCGGCAUGGUAAGCCAGAUGUGAAAGCCUUGGGCUUAACCCGAGGAUUGCAUUUGGAACUAUCAAGCUAGAGUACAGGAGAGGAAAGCGGAAUUCCUAGUGUAGCGGUGAAAUGCGUAGAUAUUAGGAAGAACACCAGUGGCGAAGGCGGCUUUCUGGACUGAAACUGACGCUGAGGCACGAAAGCGUGGGGAGCGAACAGG